This 65-nucleotide transfer RNA is filed under the name Mesaphorura yosii. RNAcentral's name for it is "tRNA-Gln". Lineage: Eukaryota; Metazoa; Arthropoda; Collembola; Poduromorpha; Tullbergiidae. The record is from RNAcentral.
UAGAAUAAAGUAUAUUUACGGUAAUUUUUGGAGUUACAAGAACUAGUUGACUCUAGUUGUUCUAA